UAACGUAGACGUAAAGUUACGCUAAAUACCGCAUAUUCUGUGAGCAGGAAAGCAGGGGGAUCGCAAGACCUUGCGCUUUAGGAGCGGCCGAUGUCGGAUUAGCUAGUUGGUGAGGUAAAGGCUCACCAAGGCGACGAUCCGUAGCGGGUCUGAGAGGAUGAUCCGCCACACUGGGACUGAGACACGGCCCAGACUCCUACGGGAGGCAGCAGUGGGAAUUUUGGACAAUGGGCGCAAGCCUGAUCCAGCCAUGCCGCGUGAGUGAAGAAGGCCUUCGGGUUGUAAAGCUCUUUCGGCGGGGAAGAAAUGGCGCUUUCUAAUACAGAGCGUCGAUGACGGUACCCGCAUAAGAAGCACCGGCUAACUCCGUG
Molecule: ribosomal RNA, 371 nt
Filed under: uncultured bacterium
Lineage: Bacteria
Description: bacterial SSU rRNA
Rfam family: Bacterial small subunit ribosomal RNA
Source: RNAcentral